CAAGCGGUGGAUGAUGUGGUUUAAUUCCAUGCAACGCCAAAAACCUUACCCACCUUUGACAUGUACGGAAUUUUCCAAAAAUGGAUUAGUGCUCUAAAGAAACCGUAACACAGGUGCUGCAUGGCUGUCGUCAGCUCGUGUCGUGAGAUGUUGGGUUAAGUCCCGCAACGAGCGCAACCCUUGUCAUUAGUUGCUACAUUUAGUUGGGCACUCUAAUGAGACUGCCGGUGACAAACCGGAGGAAGGUGGGGAUGACGUCAAGUCCUCAUGGCCCUUAUAGGUGGGGCUACACACGUCAUACAAUGGCUGGUACAAAGGGUUGCCAACCCGCGAGGGGGAGCUAAUCCCAUAAAACCAGUCCUAAUCCGGAUCGCAAUCCGCAACUCCACUGCCUGAAGUCCGAAUCCCUUGUAAUCCUGGAUCAAAAUGUCACCGUGAAUACCUUCCCCGGUCUUGUACACACC
RNAcentral lists this ribosomal RNA (464 nucleotides) under uncultured bacterium. RNAcentral's name for it is "bacterial SSU rRNA". It matches the Rfam family "Bacterial small subunit ribosomal RNA", at positions 926 to 1391 of the family's 1533-position model. The record is from RNAcentral.